RNAcentral lists this unclassified non-coding RNA (237 nucleotides) under Hevea brasiliensis (rubber tree). Lineage: Eukaryota; Viridiplantae; Streptophyta; Magnoliopsida; Malpighiales; Euphorbiaceae. The record is from RNAcentral.
CGACCUUGAAGAAAGAAAGGAAAAAAAAAGAAGGGAAAAAUUAAACCAGAGCCUGCAAUGGGCAGCAAAGCAAGCCCUGAAACAGCACCAACACAACCAGCUCUUCCAUGGAAGACACGUCUCACCGUCUCACUCAUUUCAACCUUUUCGGAUGCCACCCGCCGUUCCGACCGCACCAUAAACCGCCGUCUCCUCAACUUCUUCGACUUCAAGUCACCUCCUUCCCCCACCAAACCA